This 183-nucleotide ribosomal RNA is filed under the name uncultured bacterium. RNAcentral describes it as "partial 16S ribosomal RNA". It matches the Rfam family "Bacterial small subunit ribosomal RNA", at positions 355 to 532 of the family's 1533-position model. The record is from RNAcentral.
UAGGGAAUUUUCGUCAAUGGGCGCAAGCCUGAACGAGCGAUGCCGCGUGAGUGAAGAAGGCCUUCGGUCGUAAAGCUCUGUUGCGGGGGAAAAAAGGCAGCAUCAGGAAAUGGGUGCUGACUGAUGGUGCCCCGCCAGAAAGUCACGGCUAACUACGUGCCAGCAGCCGCGUAAUCUGUAUCU